ACGUUGUGGUUGUUUGAAAGAACAAACAGGACGACGCAGUUUGUUUCAGCUGAAGUCCGAGUGUGUGAAAUGUGUGAAAAGUGUGUUUUUGUGAUUCUGGGACUCCUGCUGCUGACCUGCACACCUUUACAGGGUUCUGUUGAUGUGACUCCUGUAUUUGUGCAGACGGGAGGAGACGUCCUUCUGGAUGGACACAAACCUUCUGUCCUUGAAGAUGGCUUUGUUUUUUCAUGGAUAAUUAAUGACACAAAUAUAAUAAGAUUUUUACCUCCUCGUGAACCAAUUUUUCAUAAGUCAUAUGAAGAAAGAUGGAGCGCCUUGGGGCAACUGUUUGUUGUGAUUUGGCGCUAUAUAAGAAAAAAGUUGAUUGAUUGAUUGAUUGAUUGAUUGAGUUUACUGCAGAAAACUUCUCUUUGCUUUUGAAGGAUCUACAGAAAGCCGACAGUGGACUUUAUGUUGGUUUUAUUCAAGGGGAUAAAGAUAGAAUAACAGCACAAUACAACGUCAUAGUUGUUGAUCCGGUGUCUCCAGUUGUCCUGCAGGUGGACUCUGUCUCCAACACGUCUGUCUCCUGUGACGUCACUCUGACCUGCAGCACAAACGACUCUGACAUCAUCAUCCUCAGCGCCAACUUCACAUGU
This is a long non-coding RNA of Thalassophryne amazonica, 641 nucleotides long. RefSeq lists it as uncharacterized. NCBI's taxonomy places the organism in Eukaryota, Metazoa, Chordata, Actinopteri, Batrachoidiformes, Batrachoididae. The transcript is spliced from 3 exons. The record is from RefSeq and is a predicted model, not a curated record.